CGACAUAGCUCAAUUGGCAGAGCAACUGACUUGUAAUCAGUAGGUUGAGGGUUCGAUUCCUUUUGUCGGC
This 70-nucleotide transfer RNA is filed under the name bovine gut metagenome. It matches the Rfam family "tRNA". From Rfam's summary of the family: Transfer RNA (tRNA) molecules are approximately 80 nucleotides in length. Their secondary structure includes four short double-helical elements and three loops (D, anti-codon, and T loops). The record is from RNAcentral.